Molecule: non-coding RNA, 3611 nt
Organism: Parasteatoda tepidariorum (common house spider)
Lineage: Eukaryota; Metazoa; Arthropoda; Arachnida; Araneae; Theridiidae
Source: RefSeq, a predicted model, not a curated record
UUAGUAUUUCCAUUUGAACUGGUUAGUAACAUUUGCAGAAAUGGGCAACCGGAUCCUUUACAUAAUCAUGAAAUCUGUUCGUAAACAAACAACAGACUUUGUUGAACAUUUCGCGUUAGCAUACCCUUAAUUAUUUAAUGAAAUAGUUUGAAAUAUUCCUGUAUGUGCAUCAGCAUUAGUCAAUUUUAAUUAAAGAAUGGUAAUUGUUAAAACUGGAGGUGAGUUUUAUCAUUGAAUAGCUUUUUCUGGAGUCCUUAAACAUGGCAAGGAUACCAGUAAUGAGUGUACCAGCAUCCAUUAAUAAUCCUGUUGCUGUUAUGAAUACCUACCGCUCUUAUGUAUCAAUGCUCAAAGAUCCUGUUGCAAAGGAUGAAAGUAAAUUAAAAGCUUUACAAGAAUAAAGUGGAGAGCUUGAAACUAUUGUUAGUAAUCCACAAUAUCCUUCAUUUUUGGAUCAGGCUAUAAAAAUUUUUAUCAGAAUUUUAGGAGAUGGAGAACCAGAAUUUCAGAAAAAAACACCCAUGCCUCUUGCUUAUAGUACUUUAGCUGAUCUUGUUCAUCAUAUGAGACAAUAUUUAUAGUUGAUGGAUCUGACUAAGGCUGUAAAUGUGUUCUCAAAAAAUGUUCAUGAUGAAUCUUUAGUAACUGCAAUUCAAACAAUGUCUUGUAAGUUUAUUCUGAAUUUAGUUGAAUGCAGUAGAAUAAGAUCUGAUCGAGAAAAUGGCAAUUUUCAGGCAAAAUUUGGUUUUCCUGCUUCUGAGGCAGCUAAUUAUUUGACUAUAGUAUGUUCAUCGAAAACAGUUACUUGGAGAAUUACGGCUUGCAAGUUUUCUGGUGAUUCAAACACUAAACCAAGUAAGCAGUACCAACCUAAUUAAACUUAUUAGAUUGAUCAAGUAUGCUCAACCAACUUUGGCUAUUUAUAAGUUAACAUUCCCUACUCCUGGACAAACACUAAUCCAAGUAAGCAGUACCAACCUAAUGAAACUUAUUAGAUUGAUCAAGUAUGCUCAACCAACUUUGGAUAUUUAUAAGUUAACAGUCCCUACUCCUGGACAAGUUGUUCAGCAGCGACCAAUGAACAUACAAACUGUUCGCUCCAAGGAAGAAAUGAAAGUUUUAGAACAUCUUGUUUGAGUGAUUCUAGCAAAUUCUUUUCUUGCCACCUCCCACAUAUUUGCAACAAUGCCACCUCCCACAUAUUUGCAACAAUGCUGGUAGAAUAUCUUCUAAAAAGGAUGGAAGAAAUGGAUCCCUAUUUACAUCAAAUAGUAAAUAGAUCCAUGGAGCUAGCUUUAAGUGCUAAAGAACCAUAUAAUUAUUUCCUUCUUUGUAGAGCCUUGUUUCGGUCUAUAGGAGGUGGUAGUCAUGAUUUGUUGUAUCAAUAAUUCUUACAUUUAUUACCAAAUUUAUUGCAAGCCUCUUAGUCGGGAGUAAGAUCACAUUAAAAGACCCAUGAAUGCUUUUAUGAUAUUCAGCAAACGCCAUCAAGCUCUUGUUCACCAACGUCAUCCAAAUCAAGAUAAUCGAACAGUGAGCAAAAUCUUAGGGGAAUGGUGGUACGCAUUAGAGCCGGAACGAAAGCAGAAAUAUCAUGAUCUGGCAUAUGAGGUUAAGGAGGCUCAUUUCAAGGCAUAUCCUAACUGGAAAUGGUGUAGUCCGGACCGUAAAAAGUCUAGCAUCAGCUCCACCCCCAAAGAUAGCCCAAAACCUCUUGGCAAUGAUGAACCUCUUACACCAUCGUUAACUUCAACUGAAAAAGUAUCUGCGUCAGAUGAUUUUUUGCUACCUUUUAGUGUUCCUGCACUAGCCAAGAAAGCUGAAGAUCCAACUAUCAAGUCAAACAAAUACUUUAAUUUUGAGAAGCAGCCCAGAUCUCGCUCUCUAUCACAGCUGCCUGAUCCCUGGCAUGCCAGUCUGUUGACGAAUUCUUUUGAUUGAAGCAGCUCUGAAAAAAAGGUUUCAGAUGAUUUAAGACAGGACAGUGCUGAUAUUUCUGGUUUUGCUGAGAAGUCUAAAAAAAGAAGAGAGAUGGAUAAUUUGCGAGGGGAUUCUGACACCACCAGUGAUGAUGAAAGAAUGGUGAUAUGUGAGGAAGAGGUAGAUAAUGUUUCAGAUAAAUCACGUUUAUGCACUGAAGAACCACCCAUCGACUUGAAGUGCAAAGAGAAGGUCACAGAAAGCGAUACGGAAAGCCAGUCUGAUGAAGAAUCCUUGUUAGAAAACAAGGCAUUCCCUCAUCAGAGAUUCUCACCGGUCAUGAAGCAUCAUCCGUCUGUCGAAGUCACCCACCGCCCGAAGCCUAUAAAAGCACACCCUUGUUCCAACUCCCAAACUUCAUUUUCCACCAGCAAUGAAAAUAGUAGUUCUCCUAGUAGUGCUGUCGGCAGAACUUUCCUCAGGCCUUUGCCGACUGGAUCCUGCUUUCAACCUACGGGUGCAGUCUUCAAAGAUGUCCACUCUCCUAAAGUGCCUUCACUUUGUUCGAUAGAGUAUCGGACUCUCCCGACAUGCCCAUUCUCGUCUCAAAGAUACCGCCUAUGCUUGAAGCUGUAAACAGUGAGCAGUUCUCCCUGUCUAAUCAAAAACUAGUUACUUUUGAAGAAUCUCAUAAUUAUGGUGGGGAUGGCGCUAAAAGUAAGACACAAAAAACUGUUCAGUAGCUCUGUCAUGGCAGUAAUUUGCCUCCGCCUCUUUCGAUCCCCUCCAUCAAUCUCACUCAAACGCAUGCCAAAAAUAUUUCUCCUCAAGUACCGGCAGCAUUUGCAGGCUCUUCAAGUCCCUGUUCGGAACGACAAGUCCAAAUUGCAACUGUCCGCUUCCCUUAUCCAGACAUCGCAAGGCUUCUUGGUGUCCAACAGUGCCCUCGGAGCCACUCAUUACAGCAUGACAAUCCUCAAUCCAUCCACGUCUAAAACUUCACCGUGCGUCUCCCCGGCUCAAACUUCUCCCAAGAUUUUAACCUCCACCCUGAAAAACUUGGUCAUUCCAGUUUCCAAACACAAUGGCAUACCCUCUUCUCCCCAGACCAUGUCUGUUUCUCAAAUAACUCCUACGGUUUUAGCAAAUCUCGUCCUGAAAGCAAAUUCCCAAGUACCUGCUCAAAGUGUGAUGUCCAACCUGACAUCUCCGGGUCAGUUUCAUCUGUCUCCUCAAUUGAUAUCAAGGUCUGGGGCAACUCAAGUGCAGUAUCUGUUGCCAUCACUUACUUUACAAUCACCUACUUUAAAAGUUCAUUUUUUAGGAUGGUUUUCAAGGAGGCUUUGAAACUUCACUGGUGUUGUCAAGUGACCAUUUAUUUUUUCAGCUUUUAAUAUGUAUGUACAAGUCCUAAUAUAAAACAAUAAAUUUUUAAGUGUUUUGCCACAAAGUUCCCAAUUUGUAUUUUGAUUUAUGAUUUUACCUUUAAGAAGGAAAGUAAUUUUUGAAGUAUUUUUUAUUAAGAAAAAAUAAGGCUUAUAUGCAAUUAUAAAAAAAGUGUUUCAAUCAGAUUUAGUCCCCAGUAAAAUGUUGUCAUUAUACAUCCUUGGUAUUUUUGCGUUUUCUUUUGAAUUUCACUUUAAAUUUUGUUAGUGGUAAAUUUAUAUCCAAUUAAAGUUUUUUGUUUCUUA